ACAAUUAUGCCCAUAUAUUACAUUAAAAUAUAGCAUAUUUUAAUAAGUGCUAUUGUCGCAUGGUAAUAGAAAAAGACACGGAAAAUGGGCGGUAAAUGAAAUACACAGGCGCCAAAUGAAACACAAAAGCAAUAAUCCCUAAUUACUCUACACGCCUCCUAUGUUUCUCUCUCACACUCAGUAACUCUCUCUCUCUCUCUCACUCGUUCAAUCUUUCUUUCUUUCUCUCUGUUUGUUGCAGGUAUGUAACAAGGUGAUGGGGCCUGCGGCUUCGGUCGUGUGACAGGGAGGCUCGACUCUUGGGUCUACGGCGUGGCUGGCUCGUGGGUGUGACGGUGCUUGCGGCGGUGGGUCUACGGCGUGGCGUGGCUCGACUCGUGUGGCUCGACUCGUGGGUCUACCAUAGAGAUUGACUUGCAGAGCAAUGGUCCAGCAGGCUCUACAGGGAGGAGCUCCAGCUGCUUACGCCCAAGAAAUGGAGAGGCUAACCGCUAAAGAAUCCCUUCUUCUUGCUGUUAUAUGCCUUCAGAUCUGUACAAUUUAAACUCAGCAUAUGGUUCUGAGGAGGAACUUAAACACUGCAUUGAAGAAAUGCAUUCUCAAGACCUUUUGGCCUUGGGAGAUGUUGUGCUGAAUCAUCGGUGUGCACAUAAACAGAGCCCAAAUGGUGUUUGGAACAUUUUUGGAGGCAAGCUUUCUUGGGGUCCUGAGGCAAUUGUUUGCGAUGAUCCAAAUUUUCAGGGUCGUGGAAACCCUUCUAGUGGUGAUAUAUUCCAUGCUGCACCAAACAUUGAUCAUUCCCAGGAGUUUGUAAGAAAAGAUAUAAAGAGUGGUUAAAUUGGCUUCGAAAUUACAUUGGUUAUGAUGGGUGGCGCCUCGACUUUGUGAGGUUCUUAUGUAAAAGAAUAUAUUGAAGCUUCAAAUCCUGCAUUUGCUAUUGGAGAAUAUUGGGAUAGUUUAGGUUAUGAGCAUGGCAACUUGUGUUACAAUCAAGAUGCUCAUAGGCAAAGGAUAGUCAAUUGGAUCA
Long non-coding RNA from Humulus lupulus (European hop), 1027 nucleotides. RefSeq lists it as uncharacterized. Lineage: Eukaryota; Viridiplantae; Streptophyta; Magnoliopsida; Rosales; Cannabaceae. The transcript is spliced from 7 exons. The record is from RefSeq and is a predicted model, not a curated record.